GACGAACGCUGGCGGCGUGCUUAACACAUGCAAGUCGAGCGGUAAGGCCCUUUCGGGGGUACACGAGCGGCGAACGGGUGAGUAACACGUGGGUGACCUGCCCUUAGCCCUGGGAUAAGCCUGGGAAACUGGGUCUAAUACCGGAUAUGACUCCAUGACGCAUGUUGUGGGGUGGAAAGCCUUGUGCGGCUAGGGAUGGGCCCGCGGCCUAUCAGCUUGUUGGUGGGGUGAUGGCCUACCAAGGCGACGACGGGUAGCCGGCCUGAGAGGGCGACCGGCCACACUGGGACUGAGACACGGCCCAGACUCCUACGGGAGGCAGCAGUGGGGAAUCUUGCGCAAUGGGCGAAAGCCUGACGCAGCGACGCCGCGUGAGGGAUGACGGCC
RNAcentral lists this ribosomal RNA (387 nucleotides) under uncultured bacterium. RNAcentral describes it as "bacterial SSU rRNA". It matches the Rfam family "Bacterial small subunit ribosomal RNA", at positions 28 to 416 of the family's 1533-position model. The record is from RNAcentral.